CCCCUUAGUGCUGCAGCUAACGCAUUAAGCACUCCGCCUGGGGAGUACGGUCGCAAGACUGAAACUCAAAGGAAUUGACGGGGGCCCGCACAAGCGGUGGAGCAUGUGGUUUAAUUCGAAGCAACGCGAAGAACCUUACCAGGUCUUGACAUCCCGCCGACCGCCUAGGAGACUAGGCCUUCCCUUCGGGGACGGCGGUGACAGGUGGUGCAUGGUUGUCGUCAGCUCGUGUCGUGAGAUGUUGGGUUAAGUCCCGCAACGAGCGCAACCCUUGAUCUUAGUUGCCAGCAUUCAGUUGGGCACUCUAAGGUGACUGCCGGUGACAAACCGGAGGAAGGUGGGGAUGACGUCAAAUCAUCAUGCCCCUUAUGACCUGGGCUACACACGUGCUACAAUGGAUGGUACAAAGGGCUGCGAACCCGCGAGGGGGAGCCAAUCCCAUAAAACCAUUCUCAGUUCGGAUUGUAGGCUGCAACUCGCCUACAUGAAGCUGGAAUCGCUAGUAAUCGUGGAUCAGCAUGCCACGGUGAAUACGUUCCCGGGCCUUGUACACACCGCCCGUCACACCACGAGAGUUUGUAACACCCGAAGUCGGUGGGGUAACCUUUAUGGAGCCAGCCGCCGAAGGUGGGACAGAUGAUUGGGGUGAAGUCGUAACAAGGUAGCCGUAAGCUUGGAUCCCGGG
Molecule: ribosomal RNA, 685 nt
Filed under: Planococcus sp. 'Mali 3'
Lineage: Bacteria; Bacillati; Bacillota; Bacilli; Caryophanales; Caryophanaceae
Description: bacterial SSU rRNA
Rfam family: Bacterial small subunit ribosomal RNA
Source: RNAcentral